Spinacia oleracea (spinach) is the source of this 4439-nucleotide long non-coding RNA. RefSeq lists it as uncharacterized. The record is from RefSeq and is a predicted model, not a curated record. The transcript is spliced from 4 exons. Lineage: Eukaryota; Viridiplantae; Streptophyta; Magnoliopsida; Caryophyllales; Amaranthaceae.
UUGUGCUAUAUUAAAAAUUUCUUAAAUUGAAUGAGGUUACAUCAUGUUUGGCUACUUCUUUAUUCAGUUCAUGCAUGCACUAUUCCAUGUAUAAACAAUUUACUGAUUGUAUAAAGAAAAAUUCGAAGGUAAGUUGAAGAGGAGCAACCGAGAUUGAAGUGUAUUUUGGCUUUUCUUGAGUUUAAAUUACUCUUUGGUUCAUAAAUUAUUGAGGAUGUUGAUUAUUUUCUUUGGGGUAUGUUAAAAGGUGAAGAAAAUCGAACAAGGAGAGGAGGAGAGUGAGAAAUCCCAAGAUUAAGGACUAGAGCUUAGCAAGGUGAUUUGAUGACGUGGAUCCAUGGAAGAUUUAUAUGGAAGAUCAGGAAGACAUCCAGAUUUAGCACUCAAAUAACGCUCUCCAUGCAUUUUGCUGUUACAAUUCUUAGAUUUAUAUGGAAGACAACCAGGUAUAGCUACUUUUUCUUUAAAGACCAAUAUAUAGCUCCUCUAAUAUUAUGAACUAUUGAAUUCAAAUGCUUUUGUUUAAUGUGUUGAUUAUUACAUUUCAUCUCAUUUGAGUGUUUUAUGCAACUAUAUUUGUUUCUAAUUUAAAUAACGUGUGGAAGAAGUCAUCCAUGAAUUUGUUGUUUUAAGUUUUGGACUUCGUUGUAGAAAAUUGGUGAGUGUCUUCCCUUCAUAAUUUAGGGUACCCUAGAACUAGCCCUACAAGGGCCACAACAAAACCUUCCAGGGAAGGCUUCUAUCUGAAAUACACCUUAAGGAUAUUGUAUUAUGAAUAGUUACAUACGGUUCUCUUGUAGUUCUCCUGUUUGUUGUUCGUUGAUUUGAAGAUUAUGUUUUAAGGUUUCACCUAAAUGUGCAUACUGACGAGUGACGAGUGACAUAUCUUUAUCUCACAAUCAUGCUAGUAUGUUUCAGUUUGGAUUUUGACUAUUCAGGUAAUUUAUUUAGCACGGUUUUGUAGAUAUUAUGCAUAUAGAUCCCUACUGCAGAAGUUGAGAUGUUCGACAUGCAUUCAAUAAAAAAAGAGGGGGUUGGGGGGGGGGGGGGGGUACUAAAUGAUGCUCUUGUGCAUUUCAAUAUGUCAUUUAAGUUAUUUAAUCUAGGCACAUUAUUACAUUUGAUGGAAAUUCAAAUUCUAUGUUUCUCCAUUUGGAGCAACAAAUGGUCGGUACUGCUCUAAUAAGAUAAUUACUGUACAGCUAGUGAGCCAAGUGAAGAAGGUUUUGCUUCAAGGAUAAGUAUCUUGACACUGUACAUCUACUCUUGGUUAAGAAAUGAUCUUGCUAAUAUGAAAUCAACUGAAUAAUACUUAUGUUUGGCACUAACUCUUCUCCACCCUAUUUGUAAAUGCAUCUUUAAUGAUAAGUUGUCUUCUACUUGUAAGGAUGAGGUAUCUCAUUGAUGCUAUCUUCUCCUUCUCUCUUUAUUUUCAGUUCCUGUAUCUGAUUCUAGUUUCAGCAAUUUCGAGUUCGUUGUCAACAUAAAAAGUAACCAAAAAUUUGUUGUUGAUUUCAUGAGUCGAAAUUUGCUAUGAAAUAUUGUUUUGAAGUUACACCAUUGCUAGUUCAAAACUUGAAAGCCCAUUUUUUUUUUGGAUAAAAGGAAAUGUCAAUAGCUAGUUCUCAUGUUGCUUGGAUAAGGUUUUACUUUCUUGCUCAAUGAUGAAGUUUCACUAAUGGGUAUUGGGAACAGCUUGAACAAAAUAUGUUAUCAGUAUUAAGGUCUCACUAAGAUUUGAAAAUUACAGUUUUGUAUGGGUUCCUCAUUUGUGUUUGUUCCAAUACAUCUUGUUUUAUCUUUUUAGGUUUUCAGCUUUUAACUAGGCAAUGUAAUCUCCGAUUUGUUUGGACUUCAUGGUGUAGCAUCAUUGGUUCUAUGUGUUCUGCUCCUGUUAAAAAGACAAAUAUUAGCACCUCGGAUCCUCGGGUAUCAAGGAAGAAGAAACAAAAAGAUAUCAUCUAAGCCCCAACAUAAGUCGGACUGUGUCAGCGAUUCACCAAAGUAGCCUGUUUCUAUCGAACUGGAGGAAUCUUAGUUUUAAAAAGUGCGUCUAGGCUCAAGGCGCAGGUCCAGGCGUGUAGCCAUGACACUCUCAGGCACCCUACAAAAGGUGUGUGCCUUAUGCUCCUUUUCCUAGGCUCAAGGCGCAACGCGACUUUUAUGGCUCCCUAACAGUUAGAAUUACUAUAUUGAAAAGAGGAAAGAGAAGACCCCAAAUCACUCUAUGUUUUUUCUUGACCCUCUCAACGACGGGUCAUGGAAACUCCUUUUUCAAUUUUAAAGUAAUUGUUUAUGUAAGGUAUGUUACACUUUGAGAAUCUAAAUAAAGAUCCGGGGACUAAAAAGUUACUUUCUUCCUUAGUCCCCUUUUUGUUUUUUCCCAAGGCUUUUAUUUUUACUAUAAUUACUAAUUUAUCCUUCUGUGACAACAAGUAAUACGUUUUGAAUUUCUUUUUACAGAAAAUUAAAACUACAAAAUUAUUAAAUAAAUUGUUCGCCUUGCCUACGAAAGGCGCGAGCUUAGGCUCCAAGGACUUUUGCGCCUUGCGCCUAGGCUCCACAGACUUUUGCGCCUUGGCGCGCCUUGCGCUUCUUAAAACUGACGACAAGCAUUUGAUCAUCCAAACUUCUAAUCUUCCCUUUUCUCUUCGUCAUUUUCGGUAUCAAAUAUGAUAGUAUUUUUUGCUCCACAUGGUUUAUAAUUCGGUGGCCUCUUUUAUGAUAUCACUCUACCGCUCUCUUUAGUGUUAUGAGUGAUCUUGUAAAAGAGACCAACGAGUUAUAUACCAUAUGGAGCAGAAAAAUAUUAUCAAAUUUGAUACGGAAAAUGAUGAAGAAAAAAGAGAAAAUUUAGAAGUUUGGAUGAUCAAAUGCUUGCCGAAUUAGGGGGAAAAUCAUUUUUUUUUUAUUUUAAAUUAUUUGACCAAGUUCUAUAAGUAGCUUCAUUUAUUUGAUUUAAAAAUAUCAUGAUAUUAGUCAAACAAAUGAAUGAAACUAUUUAUAGAAUUUGGUUUAAUAAUUUGAAAAUAAGAAAAUUUUUGAUAAUUUACUGACGUGUUUAUGAUACACCCUAAUGAAUUCCAACCAUAUCUAAGGCAAACACUGUUCUCAAAGUGUUAAAAAAAUGUAGGGGAAAAAACGAUUUAAUUUUUUCAAAUUAUUUGACCAAGCUUUAUAGUAGCUUCUUUCAUUUGUUUGAGGUAUAUCAUGAUAUUACUUAAACAAAUGAAUGAAGCUACUUAUAGAUCUUGGUCAAAUCAUUUGAAAAAUAAAUCAAAAUAAUAAUUUCCCCUUGGAUUUUUUUUGUUAGAAGAGUGUUGUUUCUGGUGACAUUAGAAAUAGAAAAAUUUAUAAAAAUAACAAUUUCGUAAAGUAUAUGUAGUAUAACUUUUACUUUUUUGUAAAAGAUACGAGAAUCCUUCCCUGUUGUGUUAGUAAGAUUUGAUGACCUAAACAAGGUACGUAGCUUAUCCAGCUAUUACACGUAUAGUACAGGUCUCUUUGCAUCAUGCAUGGAACAAGUUAUCAUGGUGCACCUUUUAUGGAAAUUGAUAUUUUUGGCUAGAUCUAUCAGUUCCGCUGUGAAAAAAUUGAAGGAAAAAAAUAAGCCAUUUCCCGAAUUGGUGAUAAGUGUUGCAUAAAAAUAAACUAUUUAGCUUUCCAUCCAUGUGACAUUAACUCCAGAUGGAAUAGAUAAUGUCCAUUAACUCCAGUUCAUGGCUCUGAUAUUGCAUUCUGUUAAAGCUUCCCUUAAAUUGAAUGCGGUUACAUCAUGUUUGGCUACUUCUUUAUUCAGUUCAUGCAUGCACUAUUCCCUGCAUAAACAAUUUACUGAUUGUAUUGACGUGAUGCCCUUGGUACUGAUUGGAUUUCAAAUUGAUUGCUAGAUUUUCCUGCUUGAGUAUGUUGUUAAUGCUUCAUGGAUGGACGGUUAGUUGCAGCAUAGUUGAGGUAGGUAAUUCCAGCUAGCGUUUUGGUUUCCUAUGUUCCCAUGUUGGUCUUAGAAAAUAUUUUUCCUAUACACCCUCUGUGAAUUGGAACUUUGAAUGGCUUACCAAUUACACAAUACUAAUGUAUGUAUCUGAUCGUGGUGUUAUGGUCGACGACUUGAUCAUUUGAAGUACUUGUCAUCGUAGACUACAAACAAGGAAGGAAUGUGUUGGUUUAUUGGUUAAGACUUGUUAUUACAACAACUAUAGUGCACGAAAAAACUGAUGAGGAUUUAUGGGUAAAAGUUUUUCAUACUUUUCCAAUUAGGAAAUAAGUCUCACACGAAUAACAACAGAUUAAAAUCUCUUAACAUUUAGUUGAUUAGUUUUUGCAUAUGCUGCCGUUAGGAAAUAAGUCUCACACGAAUAACAACAUAUUAAAAUCUCUUAACAUUUUCUUGACUAGUUUUUGCAUAUGCUGGCUUAAGAGAACGGUGAUUUCCUUAA